CAAAGGCAAAGGGGCAGGAAGAGGAGCGGGGAGAGGGGCAGGGGCAUACGGCAGAGGAGCGGGUCCUUGAGCAACAGCCAAAGGAGCAGGUCCGUGAGCAGCAGCCAAAGGAACGGGUCCGUGAGCAAGAGCUAAAGGAGCGGGUCCUUGAGCAUAAGCCAGGGGAGCAAUAGCAGGAACGGGGAGACCGGCAGCGGCAACAGGGUCGACAAAACCAUCUUGAUCAAGAUCCUCUGAGAAUCCCUCGAGGUCAAGGGAAGCGUAUCCUCUGGGAGUCAGAACGAGAUCACCAAAAGCGGGAGUUAAAGGACCCACUUGAGGUCCUUCGUUCACGAUGGAUCUGAGGAGUGGAGCGGGUCCGGAAAGCUGUCCAUUGGGCAAAACCACUUGGGGAUCGGCCAAAGCUGCAGCGAAGCAAAGGGACACGGCGAGCUGCAAUAAAGGAAAAAGAUGGUAAUGCUGGAAGAUGUCUUUGUCGCGUAACCAACUGACGCGCGUCAGUCUUACAGAGUGCAUGAUGCCAGGCCCACUUGGUACAGAUUGAUAUACGCAUCCAUACCGUGGUUGCGUCAACUCGGAGCGAACAAACGG
Tigriopus californicus is the source of this 591-nucleotide long non-coding RNA. RefSeq lists it as uncharacterized. The record is from RefSeq and is a predicted model, not a curated record. The transcript is spliced from 3 exons. NCBI's taxonomy places the organism in Eukaryota, Metazoa, Arthropoda, Copepoda, Harpacticoida, Harpacticidae.